This 253-nucleotide ribosomal RNA is filed under the name uncultured bacterium. RNAcentral describes it as "partial 16S ribosomal RNA". It matches the Rfam family "Bacterial small subunit ribosomal RNA", at positions 524 to 776 of the family's 1533-position model. The record is from RNAcentral.
UACGUAGGGGGCUAGCGUUGUCCGGAAUCAUUGGGCGUAAAGCGCGUGUAGGCGGUCCGGUAAGUCCGCUGUGAAAGUCGAGGGCUCAACCCUCGAAUGCCGGUGGAUACUGUCGGGCUUGAGUACGGGAGAGGCGAGUGGAAUUCCUGGUGUAGCGGUGAAAUGCGUAGAUAUCAGGAGGAACACCGGCGGUGUAGACGGCUUUCUGGACCGUAGCUGACGCUGAGACACGAAAGCGUGGGUAGCAAACAGG